Callorhinus ursinus (northern fur seal) is the source of this 609-nucleotide long non-coding RNA. RefSeq lists it as uncharacterized. NCBI's taxonomy places the organism in Eukaryota, Metazoa, Chordata, Mammalia, Carnivora, Otariidae. The record is from RefSeq and is a predicted model, not a curated record.
AAGGCUCUAGGCCCGCGCGCGUGUCUGUCCGGCAGGGCCGCCGCUGCCGUCUCCGGAGCCUGAGGUCCCCGAAGGCCGGGCCCCCGCUCCCCGGACCCGGCGUGGGGGCUGCGCCGACCCCGGAGGACUGGGUUGCAGAUGGGUGUGGGGUCGGCAGUGUGUGAUCAGAUCAGCAGCAGAGCGUUCGAGGGAUGAGCACUGGCCUGCCUUGAGGUUUUGUGUGCUGAGGUGCUCAAGAAUGGUGGUCUGCGGUGUGGAGUUUGAAAGCUGGAGGCGGCAGCCCUUUAGCUUGAGGAGAGGCUAUUUUCCCAGAGAAAGGUCAGCCAUGCUGCAGCAGGGAAAGAACUUGACGUUUCGAGGACCAGUGGUCACCAUACCAUCAGUUUGGACUGAAAACCCAGGCUUCAACAGUGGGUGUGGAAACAAUGCUUAACUUGUGUUGAGGUUCCGAGGCCAUUCUCUUACCAGCAGAGCCAACAAACGUGUUUGGCAAACUUGCUAGGAUACUAUGCUAGGAUAGGCACUGUUGGUGUCAUUGAAUUCAUGAGCUUUCUAGUAAUGUAUUGUGUUGUAUUUUUAGCUCCCCUGCCCAAAGAGAGCUUCUAUACC